GGGUUGUGAGGUUAAGCGACUAAGCGUACACGGUGGAUGCCCUGGCAGUCAGAGGCGAUGAAGGACGUGCUAAUCUGCGAAAAGCGUCGGUAAGGUGAUAUGAACCGUUACAGCCGGCGAUGUCCGAAUGGGGAAACCCAGUGCAAUUCGUUGCACUAUCGUUAACUGAAUACAUAGGUUAACGAGGCGAACCGGGGAACUGAAACAUCUAAGUACCCCGAGGAAAAGAAAUCAACCGAGAUUCCCCAGUAGCGGCGAGCGAACGGGGAGCAGCCCAGAGUCUGAAUCAGCUUGUGUGUUAGUGGAACGGUCUGGAAAGUCCGACGGUACAGGGUGAUAGUCCCGUACACCAAAAUGCACAGGUUGUGAACUCGAAGAGUAGGGCGGGACACGUGGUAUCCUGUCUGAAUAUGGGGGGACCAUCCUCCAAGGCUAAAUACUCCUGACUGACCGAUAGUGAACCAGUACCGUGAGGGAAAGGCGAAAAGAACCCCGGCGAGGGGAGUGAAAAAGAACCUGAAACCGUGUACGUACAAGCAGUGGGAGCACCUUCGGGUGUGACUGCGUACCUUUGUAUAAUGGGUCAGCGACUUAUAUUCUGUAGCAAGGUUAACCGUAUAGGGAGCCGCAGGGAAACCGAGUCUUAACUGGGCGUUAAGUUGCAGGGUAUAGACCCGAAACCCGGUGAUCUAGCCAUGGGCAGGUUGAAGGUUGGGUAACACUAACUGGAGGACCGAACCGACUAAUGUUGAAAAAUUAGCGGAUGACUUGUGGCUGGGGGUGAAAGGCCAAUCAAACCGGGAGAUAGCUGGUUCUCCCCGAAAGCUAUUUAGGUAGCGCCUCGUGAACUCAUCUUCGGGGGUAGAGCACUGUUUCGGCUAGGGGGUCAUCCCGACUUACCAACCCGAUGCAAACUACGAAUACCGAAGAAUGUUAUCACGGGAGACACACGGCGGGUGCUAACGUCCGUCGUGAAGAGGGAAACAACCCAGACCGCCAGCUAAGGUCCCAAAGUCAUGGUUAAGUGGGAAACGAUGUGGGAAGGCACAGACAGCGGGAUGUUGGCUUAGAAGCAGCCAUCAUUUAAAGAAAGCGUAAUAGCUCACUGGUCGAGUCGGCCUGCGCGGAAGAUGUAACGGGGCUAAACCAUGCACCGAAGCUGCGGCAGCGACACUAUGUGUUGUUGGGUAGGGGAGCGUUCUGUAAGCCUGCGAAGGUGUGCUGUGAGGCAUGCUGGAGGUAUCAGAAGUGCGAAUGCUGACAUAAGUAACGAUAAAGCGGGUGAAAAGCCCGCUCGCCGGAAGACCAAGGGUUCCUGUCCAACGUUAAUCGGGGCAGGGUGAGUCGACCCCUAAGGCGAGGCCGAAAGGCGUAGUCGAUGGGAAACAGGUUAAUAUUCCUGUACUUGGUGUUACUGCGAAGGGGACGGAGAAGGCUAUGUUAGCCGGGCGACGGUUGUCCCGGUUUAAGCAUGUAGGCUGGUUAUCCAGGCAAAUCCGGAUAAUCAAGGCUGAGGUGUGAUGACGAGGCACUACGGUGCUGAAGUAACAAAUGCCCUGCUUCCAGGAAAAGCCUCUAAGCAUCAGGUAACAUCAAAUCGUACCCCAAACCGACACAGGUGGUCAGGUAGAGAAUACCAAGGCGCUUGAGAGAACUCGGGUGAAGGAACUAGGCAAAAUGGUGCCGUAACUUCGGGAGAAGGCACGCUGGUGUGUAGGUGAAGUCCCUGCGGAUGGAGCUGAGACCAGUCGAAGAUACCAGCUGGCUGCAACUGUUUAUUAAAAACACAGCACUGUGCAAACACGAAAGUGGACGUAUACGGUGUGACGCCUGCCCGGUGCCGGAAGGUUAAUUGAUGGGGUUAUCCGUAAGGAGAAGCUCUUGAUCGAAGCCCCGGUAAACGGCGGCCGUAACUAUAACGGUCCUAAGGUAGCGAAAUUCCUUGUCGGGUAAGUUCCGACCUGCACGAAUGGCGUAAUGAUGGCGAGGCUGUCUCCACCCGAGACUCAGUGAAAUUGAACUCGCUGUGAAGAUGCAGUGUACCCGCGGCAAGACGGAAAGACCCCGUGAACCUUUACUAUAGCUUGACACUGAACAUUGAGCCUUGAUGUGUAGGAUAGGUGGGAGGCUUUGAAGCGUGGACGCCAGUCUGCGUGGAGCCAACCUUGAAAUACCACCCUUUAAUGUUUGAUGUUCUAACGUUGGCCCCUGACCGGGGUUGCGGACAGUGUCUGGUGGGUAGUUUGACUGGGGCGGUCUCCUCCCAAAGCGUAACGGAGGAGCACGAAGGUUAGCUAAUCUGGUCGGACAUCAGGAGGUUAGUGCAAUGGCAUAAGCUAGCUUGACUGCGAGCGUGACGGCGCGAGCAGGUGCGAAAGCAGGUCAUAGUGAUCCGGUGGUUCUGAAUGGAAGGGCCAUCGCUCAACGGAUAAAAGGUACUCCGGGGAUAACAGGCUGAUACCGCCCAAGAGUUCAUAUCGACGGCGGUGUUUGGCACCUCGAUGUCGGCUCAUCACAUCCUGGGGCUGAAGUAGGUCCCAAGGGUAUGGCUGUUCGCCAUUUAAAGUGGUACGCGAGCUGGGUUUAGAACGUCGUGAGACAGUUCGGUCCCUAUCUGCCGUGGGCGCUGGAGAAUUGAGGGGCUGCUCCUAGUACGAGAGGACCGGAGUGGACGCAUCACUGGUGUUCGGGUUGUCAUGCCAAUGGCACUGCCCGGUAGCUAAAUGCGGAAGAGAUAAGUGCUGAAAGCAUCUAAGCACGAAACUUGCCCCGAGAUGAGUUCUCCCUGAGACUAUAAGUCUCCUGAAGGAACGUUAAAGACGAUGACGUUGAUAGGCCGGGUGUGUAAGCGCAGCGAUGCGUUGAGCUAACCGGUACUAAUGAACCGUGAGGCUUAACCUUACAACGCCGAAG
RNAcentral lists this ribosomal RNA (2913 nucleotides) under Klebsiella pneumoniae. RNAcentral's name for it is "23S ribosomal RNA". It matches the Rfam family "Bacterial large subunit ribosomal RNA". Lineage: Bacteria; Pseudomonadati; Pseudomonadota; Gammaproteobacteria; Enterobacterales; Enterobacteriaceae. The record is from RNAcentral.